RNAcentral lists this ribosomal RNA (253 nucleotides) under uncultured bacterium. RNAcentral describes it as "partial 16S ribosomal RNA". It matches the Rfam family "Bacterial small subunit ribosomal RNA", at positions 524 to 776 of the family's 1533-position model. The record is from RNAcentral.
UACGAAGGGGGCUAGCGUUGUUCGGAAUUACUGGGCGUAAAGCGCAUGUAGGCGGCGAUUUAAGUCGGGGGUGAAAUCCCAGGGCUCAACCCUGGAACUGCCUUCGAUACUAUUUUGCUAGAGUGUGGAAGAGGUAAGUGGAACUGCAAGUGUAGAGGUGAAAUUCGUAGAUAUUUGCAAGAACACCAGUGGCGAAGGCGGCUUACUGGUCCAUUACUGACGCUGAGAUGCGAAAGCGUGGGGAGCAAACAGG